RNAcentral lists this small RNA (88 nucleotides) under Salmonella enterica. Its description in RNAcentral is "partial RtT sRNA". It matches the Rfam family "RtT RNA", at positions 1 to 86 of the family's 130-position model. From Rfam's summary of the family: This family represents a bacterial cis-regulatory element known as RtT RNA. The exact function of RtT is unknown although it is thought that it may be involved in changing the cellular response in relation to amino acid starvation. RNAcentral also lists the same sequence under 2 other names. Lineage: Bacteria; Pseudomonadati; Pseudomonadota; Gammaproteobacteria; Enterobacterales; Enterobacteriaceae. The record is from RNAcentral.
GUUUGCACUUGUCGGGGAAGGGUGAGAACCUUCGAUUAAGGUUCGACUCGAGCGAAAGCGAGAGAACGUUGCCAACGGCAACGGCCCG